Molecule: long non-coding RNA, 1094 nt
Organism: Xiphophorus couchianus (Monterrey platyfish)
Lineage: Eukaryota; Metazoa; Chordata; Actinopteri; Cyprinodontiformes; Poeciliidae
Exons: 2
Source: RefSeq, a predicted model, not a curated record
GAAAGCAUCUCUCUGUCUGCUCUCCUCGCGAGUACAAAAAGAAUUUAACUCUCUUGUCUUUCCUGUGUUUUGUUUAAUAGGUAUUUAGACCCAACAUUAUUUGGUCCUUCGAUUGCCGGUCGCCAAUACACCUGAGGGAUUCCUGCAGGUUUGGUCGACUUCGGUACAGACCGUGCGCACGGCAAGUUUCCUAGUGGAAGCUUAUCAGAUCCUGUUCAAGGGCUGAGGUUCGACCUGCCUGCUGGGUUCUGACGGUUGACGGUGCGCCAGGGAAAGACAACGGGGGUGAGUGAAUUCUUGUUUAAAAGUGUGGCGAAUGACUGGGGGUCAUUGCGCGAAUACAAAACCCUGUAAAUUCUAGACUCUAACAGGUAAAAAUAGUGCACAAAAUCCGUUGAGGACGUCCGAAGUCCUUCUGUAAAAAUUUCGUGGUUAGGUGGACGGAGCCUAGUGCCUUCCUGUUCUGGGAGACGGGGCCCGACGAAUACCCGUUGCAAAAAAGGACGACGGAGUCCUGCGCGAACAGGCGCUUAAAUUCCGCGACGGAAAAGAAAAAAUUAAAUAAAAAGUGUGUGAUUGUGCGAGUGCUUGGAGGUGUAAAUACCACUUGGUAUUUUACCUCAUAUAAAACAGUAGGAUUGUAACCAGCAAACCUCUUGAGGAUGCAGAGGUAAGAACCCCCACUCGAAAGAGUUGAAGCAUGGGUUACCUCAACAGGUUGUUUCAAUUGCUGGCCUACUGAACAGAACCCCAGUUUUUAGGACUCCCUAGGCGUCGACAAACUGGGCUAAAUUUUAUAAAUAAGAAAAAAUAUAAAAAAUGCGCAAAGAAGGGUAUGAGGAUGUGAAAUUUUGGUUAGAAUUAGCACAAAAAAGAGAAGAGGGGGAAAAGAAAUCAAAAAAUUUGAUGUUCUAUAGGAAGGAAGAUGAUGAGACGGGUUUAUGAGUGUGAAAAGGCAGGCAGCGGAGCAGCAAGCAGCAGGAGGGGGAGGGGAAGUAGCUGAAGUUAACAGAUACCAAAAUAACAAAACAGAAGGGGAGAAACAAAUAGUACAAACUACAAAACUAUAUCCCGACUUACCCUCACCCCCACAA